Molecule: non-coding RNA, 114 nt
Organism: Tirmania nivea
Lineage: Eukaryota; Fungi; Ascomycota; Pezizomycetes; Pezizales; Pezizaceae
Source: the annotation of a GenBank genome assembly
UCCGUCGUGGUGUAGCGGCAAGCAUUCGAGACUCUCAUACACGAGUUUCCCUCCCUCGGGAGGGGCUUGGUGUCGGGGGAUCUCGGAACCCGGGUUCGAUUCCCGGCGACGGAA